AUUGAACGCUAGCGGGAUGCUUUACACAUGCAAGUCGAACGGCAGCGCGGACUUCGGUCUGGCGGCGAGUGGCGAACGGGUGAGUAAUGUAUCGGAACGUGCCCAGUAGCGGGGGAUAACUACGCGAAAGCGUAGCUAAUACCGCAUACGCCCUACGGGGGAAAGCAGGGGAUCGUAAGACCUUGCACUAUUGGAGCGGCCGAUAUCGGAUUAGCUAGUUGGUGAGGUAACGGCUCACCAAGGCGACGAUCCGUAGCUGGUUUGAGAGGACGACCAGCCACACUGGGACUGAGACACGGCCCAGACUCCUACGGGAGGCAGCAGUGGGGAAUUUUGGACAAUGGGGGCAACCCUGAUCCAGCCAUCCCGCGUGUGCGAUGAAGGCCUUCGGGUUGUAAAGCACUUUUGGCAGGAAAGAAACGUCGCGGGCUAAUACCCCGUGGAACUGACGGUACCUGCAGAAUAAGCACGGGCUAACUACGUG
This 484-nucleotide ribosomal RNA is filed under the name uncultured bacterium. Its description in RNAcentral is "partial 16S ribosomal RNA". It matches the Rfam family "Bacterial small subunit ribosomal RNA", at positions 30 to 507 of the family's 1533-position model. The record is from RNAcentral.